Long non-coding RNA from Herpailurus yagouaroundi (jaguarundi), 884 nucleotides. RefSeq lists it as uncharacterized. The transcript is spliced from 3 exons. Lineage: Eukaryota; Metazoa; Chordata; Mammalia; Carnivora; Felidae. The record is from RefSeq and is a predicted model, not a curated record.
GCUUUGUCUCCAAGUAGGAAAGUUCUUGAAGUUUCCCUGAGCAGAGAAAUGACACGAUGUGAUCCGGUUCAUAAAUAAAUGCUCAGUCCAGAGCAACAACAGUGGAAGCUGAAUAGCCAGUGAGGAAACCAUCCGGAUGCUUCCACCGGUAGCAGCCAAUGAAGAUGCUGCCCUGGUGUUUCCAUGGCAGCAGCCAAUGAGAAAGCUUCUGCGGUGUUUCCACUGUGAUCGCCCAAUGACAAUGCUGCCCUGUUGUUUCUAAUGAGAGAAGUGAGGGCUCAGAUUACCGGAUAUGUCACAGACGUGGAACACGCCGGAUUUGCUCAUGGAUCACAAGUGAAAGAAGGAAAAAACUCAGGGAUGCAUUCAAAGCAGAGAACCAUAGAAUGGCAAGAAUCGUGGGACGUGUAAAUGAUACCAUGAAGGGAGUGAGCGAUGGACCAGAGUAAGAAUAAUAAGUUCUCUCUGCAAAGUAUGCACGUGCAACAGGACAAGAGAAGGAAAUUCAAGACUCAGUGAAAAUUAACAGUCUAAAGUAGCCAGCAUUGCUGCGGAUUAUAUGGCCGGAGAACCCAAAUCGCUCCUUUCAAGUCAAGUCCUGGGUGGGUGCUCUGGCUCCAAGCUUCAAACUUAAAGAUCCAAGAUUCCUGAAACUCAGAAAAUCUCUAUGAGUGAAAGUCAACUUCCUCUUUAAGUCUUCCCCGGGCACACGUAUUUCAUGUUGUGGCUGUCGUUGACCAAAAUGACAGAUAUCGGAUGAAUUACUCCUUUUCUGAGAAGCACAAUGCUUUGUAUACUAAUUAGGAUGUUUGGAAUGGAAUCAGAAAAGGCUGGGAGUGUAAAGAAAAGGGAAAAAAAUGUUGCUAUUAGAGUGUAGAGGGCAA